UGGUGUAUAGCUCAGUGGCACAGCACCUGCCUGGGAAGCUCAAGGCCUGAAUUCGAUUCUCAGUACCAA
RNAcentral lists this transfer RNA (69 nucleotides) under Fukomys damarensis (Damara mole-rat). It matches the Rfam family "tRNA". Rfam says of the family: Transfer RNA (tRNA) molecules are approximately 80 nucleotides in length. Their secondary structure includes four short double-helical elements and three loops (D, anti-codon, and T loops). The record is from Rfam by way of RNAcentral. Lineage: Eukaryota; Metazoa; Chordata; Mammalia; Rodentia; Bathyergidae.